This 439-nucleotide long non-coding RNA is filed under the name Nicotiana benthamiana. Its description in RNAcentral is "long non-coding RNA (NBEN_LNC028282)". Lineage: Eukaryota; Viridiplantae; Streptophyta; Magnoliopsida; Solanales; Solanaceae. The record is from RNAcentral.
AGAUGAAGAACAACCUGGGCUAUUUCCAGUAGCUGAUUUGAGAUUAGAACAAGCAGUGGAAGUGCAGGAAAUGUUGGAAUAUGUUUUUGAAGCUGACGGGUCGAAAAUUGGUUGUUGUUGAGCGUAGCAAGAUUUGACACAAGGUUGGCAUUGAGUCCAUGUUAGAUCACUCCCGGUGUCGAAAAUGAGGGAAAGAUCUUUUUUUGGGGUUCCAAGUCCGACGUUGACAAUGUAGUUUCCUGUGCCCAGAGGAAGGCCGGAUUGUGCAGGGAGAUUGGCUUUUGACUCUUUUACGCUCUUGUUUUUGUUGGAAGACUUUUUGUCUUUUUUCUUGAAAAGGUCGUAGCUUUGGUCUGUGACGCGGGCUUGUAUUGAGUCCACUCGGGCUUGAUCGUGAGCUAAGAUUUCGGUCAAAGUUGGGGCUUUUGCUCCCUUUUGG